Molecule: unclassified non-coding RNA, 92 nt
Organism: Cavia aperea (Brazilian guinea pig)
Lineage: Eukaryota; Metazoa; Chordata; Mammalia; Rodentia; Caviidae
Gene: Vault
Rfam family: Vault RNA
About the family: This family of RNAs are found as part of the enigmatic vault ribonucleoprotein complex. The complex consists of a major vault protein (MVP), two minor vault proteins (VPARP and TEP1), and several small untranslated RNA molecules.
Source: Ensembl
CUUUAGCUCAGUGGUUCCUUCGAUCAAUCAAGUUUAGUCACUUGGGCCGGUGGCUUCCAUCGGUCCGGUGGUUCGAGACCCACGGGCCCUUA